This 250-nucleotide ribosomal RNA is filed under the name uncultured bacterium. RNAcentral describes it as "partial 16S ribosomal RNA". It matches the Rfam family "Bacterial small subunit ribosomal RNA", at positions 524 to 769 of the family's 1533-position model. The record is from RNAcentral.
GACAGAGGGAGCAAGCGUUAUCCAGCUUGAUUGGGCGUAAAGGGUACGUAGGUGGUUAAUUAAGUCAGGUAGUGAAAGACCGGAAUGCUAAAUUGCGGAAGAAUGCUUGAAACUGAUUGGACUAGAGUUUUAGGGGUGUUUAAUAGAAUUUUUGGAGGAGUGUUGAAAUGCUAAAAUACUAAAAGGACUGUUGAUUGCGGAAGCAUUAUUCAACCUUUAACUGACGCUGAGGUACGAAGGCAUUGGUAUC